This 253-nucleotide ribosomal RNA is filed under the name uncultured bacterium. RNAcentral describes it as "partial 16S ribosomal RNA". It matches the Rfam family "Bacterial small subunit ribosomal RNA", at positions 524 to 776 of the family's 1533-position model. The record is from RNAcentral.
UACGUAGGGGGCUAGCGUUGUCCGGAAUCAUUGGGCGUAAAGCGCGUGUAGGCGGCCCGGUAAGUCCGCUGUGAAAGUCGGGGGCUCAACCCUCGAAAGCCGGUGGAUACUGUCGGGCUCGAGUACGGGAGAGGCGAGUGGAAUUCCUGGUGUAGCGGUGAAAUGCGCAGAUAUCAGGAGGAACACCGGUGGCGAAGGCGGUUCUCUGGGCCUUACCUGACGCUGAGGAGCGAAAGCGUGGGGAGCGAACAGG